CAGUUUUUAUAGACCAAUUGGAAGGUUUAUAAGUAGAUAACUUGUGAUUUUGGGUUACUUACCAUAGA
This is a non-coding RNA of Caenorhabditis elegans, 68 nucleotides long. NCBI's taxonomy places the organism in Eukaryota, Metazoa, Nematoda, Chromadorea, Rhabditida, Rhabditidae. The record is from Ensembl.